Stegodyphus dumicola is the source of this 2249-nucleotide long non-coding RNA. Lineage: Eukaryota; Metazoa; Arthropoda; Arachnida; Araneae; Eresidae. The record is from RefSeq and is a predicted model, not a curated record.
CUUUCAGGUUAAAACUGGAAAGAAGUUACUUGUUCCGUGCUCUCAGGGCCUAACGACGGUUCUCAACAUGUUUUUCCGAGCGUAAUGACCUUCAGAUUAGCUACAUUAUUUGUACUUGGGCUGUGAACUGAUGGAGAUGUCCAGAUUUGCUCUGAACACUUAUAAAAAUCGUUACUAUUUGGAGUUGUAAACAGUUCAGAAUUUUUGUUCGGAAGACUUAUCUCCUCCGUCGCCUACCUUCCAGUACUGGAUACCAAAAGAAGCAUAACGAGUCUAGCUGCUAUAAAGGCAAAGAGCCUCUUCUCUUCUUUUCACCAUCCAGUAUCUCCUGCAAAGGACACAAUUCAUGCAUUAUUUAUUCUAAGGCACGGUAUGUAAAUCUGUAAUUGCUCCUGGAAAUAUUGCUUAGGCAGUAAAGACCCAGAUAAUACUGCAGUAUCACAGUAUCAUGAAUUCCAUCUACCAAGUUUUUAAUGCAUAGAAGUAUAAUCAUCAGCAAUACUGGUCGAAAUCCAUUUCGCAGAUUAAGCUUCCCAAAUUAUUUAAUUUUCAUUACUAAUUACCAUUCAGACUACUAAUUACAUUCUAGAGUUCCUCACUCUUAUUCUGUCUAAAUUAAAUGUCGACUAACCUUGUAAACUGUAAAGAAAUUAAUCCCUCAUUUCAGAUAGCAGUAAUCUUAAAUUCAAAAAAGGUUAAUUACCCUUUAUUCCAUAAUAAAUAUUUCCUUUAUUCCAAAAUAAGAGGAACAGUCGUCCCCUUUCUUCGGGCUUACAACAAAGCCUAUACUUGGACUUGAAAAUAAGAAAUAAAAACUAACAUUAACUAAAUAAGAUUUAGUCGAAGCUAAGACAAAUAUAACGGAGUUGGCCCUUAAUCUAAACUAGUCAGCGGACUAUCAAAAGGCACAUAAUAAUGAGUCCAAGCGUCACAGCAGUUAGGGAGACUUAGACCAAAGGCAAACGCUCUCUACUCAGGAUUCCUAGCUCUCUCUUUUGAAGCAAGUUGGAUUUUCUUUUAAUAUUAUUUCUUACUCAUUUGCAUUCAAAGGGAUUCUAAAAAAAUCAUUCUCGUAGGCAGUCGUAAGUUUAAACGAGGCAAAAAAAGGAAAGGUUAACUAAACUAAAAUAACUCUCAUAAAAUUAAUUAAAAUAUACUUUACAACAUGUAACUCUAUAUGUUUUUCACCCUUUUAAACAUGCGAAAAAAUACAUUCUUGCAAUUAAAUUAAGUUUCUGACGCACUAUUAAAAUGGUUUUUAACUUUUCAGCGUUAAAGUUUAGAAGUAUUAUCAGUUUGCAAUAGGCAUAAAAUAAGAUAAUAAAAUAAAUGCCUUUAAAAUAGCAAUGAGAGCCAUAAGGAUAUAAUUUCGAAGGAAUUAAUUCUUCCCUGCUACUUGAAUUUGGACAGUUAAUUUAGGCAAUAGUAAUAAAAUUAAAAUUGUAUGCACGUAUAAAAUAAUAGCUAAUUGUAAAUAUAGUAUAGUGGGUUAUGUUUUUUAAAUUCUCCAACUAGUAAAUACCAGAAAUAAAAAAUGAUAAAAAAUUUUUAAUUAUUUUGUGCUUAUGAAAACAAAAAUGUGUCAACUUUCCCAUGAAACGCAAAUUCCAUAAAACAAAAUGAUUUCUAAACAGAAAUAUGAAUUUCAUUAGAAAUUUAGACAAUUAAAUUCUAAGAAGUCAAUUUCAGUUAGGCAAUAUCUUAUUCCCCCUGCAUUUAAAUACUUACCCAGAAAAAUCUUACUCAUAUAAUAAAGAAUUAGAUAAAAAUUAUGAAAGUCAUUAAGCAAAAAAUACAAAAUAAAUUGAACUAACAAUAAGCAUAAUUUUUAAAUUACAUCUUAGAAUUUUAAAGCAGAUUGCUGUGGGAGAUAUAUAAUUAAAAAAAAACCUUCUUCAUUAUCUUUUUGGGAGAUACAUACAAAUGCACACUACCGUUUUGAGGAACAUUUACGAAACAAAUAAUUUUUUUCUUGUUAUAAUAAAAAAAAUUACAUACGGUAAUGAAUAUAUUCGUAAAUUUUACUUACAUUACCAUACGCAUUUUUCCCCGCCUUUCAUUUAAACUUAUUUCCUCGAAUUUCAUUAGAGAUCUAUUUCCUAUUCGAUUAAUUCAAUUUUCAGUUAGCGACAAGGCAAAAAUACAUAAAACUCAAAAUAUCUAUAUUACGAAUUGAAACAUAUAAAGAAAAACAUAAAACACCAAAUACAGUUAAAACAAUUAUUUUUUUUACAAUUAAAAUUACAGUU